Molecule: ribosomal RNA, 465 nt
Filed under: uncultured bacterium
Lineage: Bacteria
Description: partial 16S ribosomal RNA
Rfam family: Bacterial small subunit ribosomal RNA
Source: RNAcentral
GACGAACGCUGGCGGCGUGCUUAACACAUGCAAGUCGAACGGAAAGGCCCCUUUGGGGGUACUCGAGUGGCGAACGGGUGAGUAACACGUGCGUAACCUGCCCUUGACUUCGGGAUAACUUCAGGAAACUGGGGCUAAUACCGGAUAGGAAUCCUUGCUGCAUGGUGGGGGUUGGAAAGCUUCGGCGGUUUUGGAUGGACUCGCGGCUUAUCAGCUUGUUGGUGGGGUAGUGGCUUACCAAGGCUUUGACGGGUAGCCGGCCUGAGAGGGCGACCGGCCACAGUGGGACUGAGAUACGGCCCAGACUCCUACGGGAGGCAGCAGUGGGGAAGAUUGCACAAUGGGCGGAAGCCUGAUGCAGCAACGCCGCGUGCGGGAUGACGGCCUUCGGGUUGGAAACCGCUUUCAGCAGGGGCGAAGCUUGUGGUGACGGUACCUGCAGAAGAAGCACCGGCUAACUACGUG